Molecule: long non-coding RNA, 797 nt
Filed under: Phasianus colchicus (ring-necked pheasant)
Lineage: Eukaryota; Metazoa; Chordata; Aves; Galliformes; Phasianidae
Description: lncRNA (ENSPCLG00000004159.1)
Source: RNAcentral
AUGAAGUGUAAUAAGGAGCAGUGUUCUCCACAUGCCUGUAAUUCAGCUGCCUGGAAACAGGUUCUGCUGAGCCACUGCAGGGCACCAACACAUUCACUGCCAGAGAUGGGUGCAGAUAGAGGAAAGCAACUGCAAACUUGCCAGGUAAACAUCCAUGAGCUGUACUUGUUUGUCCUGCUCCAGGGCCAUCUGUUCUUGCAGCCAGUACUGUAUCUCUGCAGUUCAUCUGGACAGGGCGUUGACGCAGCCUGUGAGGAUGUGAGUGAACCCUCUCACUGCUACUGGUGGUUGCAGAGCUGCAGUCUUUCCCAUCUCAGUCGUCGUUUCACAAUUGUGCUUGGAGCUGAUUAGGAAAACCUUGGAUCGUAAGGCAAAAAAAGCCUUAAAUUGAAGCAUUUCCAGAGAGCAGCACUGGGCCUUGUGGAGAGGUAAGUUGGCUAAAAAUCUGUAUUAUAUUUAAGUGGUAUUCCCUCUACUAAGGAAGACGGAUUUUCCAUCUGUGCUUAAACCACUAAUCUGGUGUGCUGAUGGAGUAAUUCAUUUUUGUAGCACCCUACAAAGGAAGUUCCUUUACUCUGUUUAUCAUUUUGUGUGUUCUGUUUAUUGCUUUCUAUUUACCUGAUUACAAAAUUGACUAAAUUUAUGUUAAGAAUCUAUCCCAGUUACUUUUAAUUGCAACAUUAACUGCUUUGUUUUGACUUAUUUCAUAGGAUUGAAUUAAUAUCUGAAGGAAUUAUAAUAGAGUGUGUUGGUCUUAACAGCAUCUAUGUCAUCUUUAUUUCUAAGAUUGGAUGGAU